Molecule: long non-coding RNA, 606 nt
Organism: Rhipicephalus microplus (southern cattle tick)
Lineage: Eukaryota; Metazoa; Arthropoda; Arachnida; Ixodida; Ixodidae
Gene: rdx
Source: RefSeq, a predicted model, not a curated record
UCGACCACUCGUCGUAUUCGUCUGCUUCGGUCGGUGGCGUUGCGCUGCUUAGCAUAUGCGAUGUUUCCGUUGUGCGCUUUCCACACAAGUGAAACAGCAAUCGUGCUUCGUCGUUUCUGAGGGUGCGGCAACCGAAGUGACGACUCGACGUCUUCCUAAAGCGGCCGAAAAGGCCGACAACGAAGCAGGCGACAGCCGGCGCAUGCGCCCAGGCGUUUUCUCAUCCUGAUGCCGGAGGAAUGCCGAGAACGGACUCGGCGUUGUUGCUUCUGUUUUGAGAGAACUUGACGUACCGACGGACCUUUCGCUUCAAGUGUACAAUCUUCCCGAGUGGUGCAACGUGUGCUCGUGGGAGCCCUCGUCAAGCGACAGCCGAAGCGCCGAACCUCGUCUGCUGGACAUCCUCAAGUUUACAGCGUACGAAACAAAACGAGCAUGCGUCCUGCGGCGCAGCCCCUGGGGCCCCAGCAGCCGAGCCGUGGUGGGCGCUGAGCGUGGUCAUCGCCGCCGCCUUUGUCACCACGGCUGCCCCCUGCAGGCCCCUGCCGGCCGCAGGCACGGACCGACCGUCGUCGGGGCGCCUUGCCGCUGCUGCCGCGGCCGCCG